AUGGAAAAUCAGUGUAAGCAAGGGUUUAAGUUGGAAAAACAAGAUCUUGAAAAACUGAAAGCAGUGCUGAAGCAAGAGAGAGGGGAUCUGGAUAGAGUGCAUGAGAUCAUGACCAAAGAAAGAUUGGACUUAGAGCUGAUGAGAUCUGAAAUUCAGGAACAAAGUAAAUUAUUAGAAAAGGAGAAAAAGGAGAUAAAAGAGGGAAGACACAAGUUGGACAGCACAAAAGCUGAGCUAGAAAAGAAGAAAGAACAUGCAGACAGUCUGUUUGAUGAGAUAGACACAGAGAAGGCCAACAUUAAACAUCUGACCCUUCAAGUUCAGACAAAAAGAAACCAACUUGAACAUGUCAUGAACAUGAUAACCUUAAAACAACAAGAACAAGAACUCAAGGAAGAUGAGUUAACAAAACGAAAACAAGAACUGGUAAUGAAUAAGAACACUGUGCUAACAGAAAGAGGAGAGCUGGAUGUUUUGAGGAAGGAUCUGAACAAAAAGAAAGAAGAGGUUGAAGCUGCCAUGAACAGCAUCACUAGAGAGAGAGAACAACUCAGUAAAAUGAAGACUGACAAUGAGAAAGAGAAAGAAAUGAUUUUAAUUGAAAAGGACAGAAUAGAAGUCCAAUGCUCUGAACUGAAGAUGAGACAAGAUCAACUCGUAAAUGAAAUGAAAUCAAUACAAACUCUGAGAAGGAAGCUUCAACAGCUUAACGAAAGGAUCAUUGAAGACAUGAAAAACAAAAUGGACAAUUUGCAACAAAGGUCUGAAGAUGUGCAAAUGCUGUACACUGUAUUGGAAGAAAAGGUGGCAGACCUUGAUGGUGAAAAAGAAAAAAUGGCUUAUUACACUGAGUUGUUAGAGAGAGAAAAGGAAGUUAUUGCAGGUAUACUGUCAGAUGUGGUCACCCAAAGACAGGACAUGGAAAAUCAGUGUAAGCAAGGGUUUGAGUUGGAAAAACAAGAUCUUGAAAAACUGAAAGCAGUGCUGAAGCAAGAGAGAGAGGAUCUGGAUAGAGUGCAUGAGAUCAUGACCAAAGAGAGACUGGAGCUAGAAACCAGUAAGAACAGUGUCCUUACAGAAAGAGGAGAACUGGAAGUUUUGGGGAAGGAUCUCAAAAAGAAGAAAGAAGAGGUCGACAUUGCCAUGAACAGCAUCAGUGGAGAGAGAGAACAACUCAGUAAAAUGAAGACUGACAAUGACAAAGAGAGAGAAGUACUUUUGAUUGAAAGCGACAGAAUAGAAGUUGAAAGGUCUGAGGUGAAAAUAAAAGAAGAUCAAGUCAUGAAGCAAAUGAAAUCAAUGGAAACUAUGAAAGUGAAGCUUCAGCGGCUGUACAAUAGGAUCAGUGAAGACAUGAAAAACAAAGUGGACAGUUUGCAACAAAACUGUGAAGGUGCGCAAAUUCUGUAUGCUACAUUGGAACAAAAGGUUGCAGCACUUGAUGGAGAAAAAGAAAAAUUGACUAAUUACACUGAGUUGUUAGAGAGAGAAAAGGAAGGUAUUGCAGGUAUACUGUCAGAUGUGGUAACCCAGAGACGGGACAUGGAAAAUCAGUGGAAGCAAGGGUUUGAGUUGGAAAAACAAGAUCUAGAAAAAGUGAAAGCAGUGCUGAAGCAAGAGAAAGG
Dicentrarchus labrax (European seabass) is the source of this 1625-nucleotide long non-coding RNA. The record is from Ensembl. Lineage: Eukaryota; Metazoa; Chordata; Actinopteri; Moronidae.